GGGCCCAUAGCUCAGUGGUCAGAGCAGCCGGCUCAUAACCGGUCGGUCCCAGGUUCAAAUCCUGGUGGGCCCACCA
RNAcentral lists this transfer RNA (76 nucleotides) under bacterium. Its description in RNAcentral is "tRNA-Ile". It matches the Rfam family "tRNA". From Rfam's summary of the family: Transfer RNA (tRNA) molecules are approximately 80 nucleotides in length. Their secondary structure includes four short double-helical elements and three loops (D, anti-codon, and T loops). Further hydrogen bonds mediate the characteristic L-shaped molecular structure. tRNAs have two regions of fundamental functional importance: the anti-codon, which is responsible for specific mRNA codon recognition, and the 3' end, to which the tRNAs corresponding amino acid is attached (by aminoacyl-tRNA synthetases). tRNAs cope with the degeneracy of the genetic code in two manners: having more than one tRNA (with a specific anti-codon) for a particular amino acid; and 'wobble' base-pairing, i.e. permitting non-standard base-pairing at the 3rd anti-codon position. The record is from RNAcentral.